GAUGAACGCUGGCGGCGUGCCUAAUACAUGCAAGUCGAGCGAACGGACGAGAAGCUUGCUUUUCUGAUGUUAGCGGCGGACGGGUGAGUAACACGUGGAUAACCUACCUAUAAGACUGGGAUAACUUCGGGAAACCGGAGCUAAUACCGGAUAAUAUUUUGAACCGCAUGGUUCAAAAGUGAAAGACUGUCUUGCUGUCACUUAUAGAUGGAUCCGCGCUGCAUUAGCUAGUUGGUAAGGUAACGGCUUACCAAGGCAACGAUGCAUAGCCGACCUGAGAGGGUGAUAGGCCACACGGGAACUGAGACACGGUCCAGACUCCUACGGGAGGCAGCAGUAGGGAAUCUUACGCAAUGGGCGAAAGCCUGACGGAGCAACGCCGCGUGAGUGAUGAAGGUCUUCGGAUCGUAAAACUCUGUUAUUAGGGAAGAACAUAUGUGUAAGUAACUGUGCACAUCUUGACGGUACCUAAUCAGAAAGCCACGGCUAACUACGUG
RNAcentral lists this ribosomal RNA (497 nucleotides) under uncultured bacterium. RNAcentral's name for it is "partial 16S ribosomal RNA". It matches the Rfam family "Bacterial small subunit ribosomal RNA", at positions 28 to 507 of the family's 1533-position model. The record is from RNAcentral.